This 253-nucleotide ribosomal RNA is filed under the name uncultured bacterium. Its description in RNAcentral is "partial 16S ribosomal RNA". It matches the Rfam family "Bacterial small subunit ribosomal RNA", at positions 524 to 776 of the family's 1533-position model. The record is from RNAcentral.
UACGGAGGGGGCUAGCGUUGUUCGGAAUUACUGGGCGUAAAGCGCACGUAGGCGGCUUUGCAAGUCAGAGGUGAAAGCCCGGGGCUCAACCCCGGAAUUGCCUUUGAGACUGCAUCGCUAGAAUUGUGGAGAGGUAAGUGGAAUUCCGAGUGUAGAGGUGAAAUUCGUAGAUAUUCGCAAGAACACCAGUGGCGAAGGCGGCUCACUGGCCCGAUACUGACGCUGAGGCACGAAAGCGUGGGGAGCAAACAGG